This is a long non-coding RNA of Bubalus bubalis (water buffalo), 432 nucleotides long. RefSeq lists it as uncharacterized. Lineage: Eukaryota; Metazoa; Chordata; Mammalia; Artiodactyla; Bovidae. The record is from RefSeq and is a predicted model, not a curated record. The transcript is spliced from 3 exons.
GCCGUAUGUAAUGGCUAGAUGCCCCUGCCUCUACAAAGGAAACACCUGAUUCAGAAAAGUAAACACCAUAACAGCAACCAGCUGCCCAGAACCAUCAUCAACCAUAUGCAGCAGCUCCGUGCCCACAGAAGCACAGGAUGCAGCUGGGAAAAAGCCUUUCAUGCCACAGUAGCUGCCUCGCAGCUCUGAAUCAACAGCGACCCGUGAUGAAGGGACAGAAGGAUUCCAACAUUCCUGGAGACCCAAGGCAGGGACACCUCCUGAGAGAACCAGGAACCCCAACUUUACUCUGGGUGAUGCUGCGACAAGGUCCAAGCAUCACUCGGGAGCUUAUUAGAAACGCAGGAUCUUGGCCCCACCACUGACAGAGGGAAUUCCACUCAGUGCAGACCUAAAGAAGCUAUUAAACAUGCAGGAGUUCUGGCCCCACCC